AUUGAACGCUGGCGGCAGGCCUAACACAUGCAAGUCGAGCGAGCGGCGGACGGGUGAGUACUGUCUGGGAAACUGCCUGAUGGAGGGGGAUAACUCCUGUAAACGGUAGCUCAUACCGCAUACCAUCAGAUGUGCCCAGAUGGGAUUAGCUAGUCGGUGGGGUAACGGCUCACCUAGGCGACGAUCCCUAGAUGGUGUGCGAGGAUGACCAGCCACACUGGAACUGAGACACGGCCCAGACUCCUACGGGAGGCAGCAGUGGGGAAUAUUGGACAAUGGGCGAAAGCCUGAUGCAGCCAGGCCGCGUGUGUGAAGAAGGCCUUCGGGUUGUAAAGCACUUUCAGCGGGGAGGCGGUACCCGCAGAAGAAGCACCGGCUAACUCCGUGCCAGCAGCCGCGGUAAUUC
Molecule: ribosomal RNA, 406 nt
Filed under: uncultured bacterium
Lineage: Bacteria
Description: partial 16S ribosomal RNA
Rfam family: Bacterial small subunit ribosomal RNA
Source: RNAcentral